AUAAUAAUAAGAAGAAGAAUAUUACAAAUUGUCAUGCAAUUAUUAAUGUGCAUGAAUAGUACUCCACAUCAUCAUCACUAUUAUACACCCCAAUACAUGUGACGUGAUACAAAAUUAAAUGCUAAUUGUUUCAAAACACGUGCUGUAAAAUAAUGCAUUAUGAUAGGUCAUUUGCUCAUCCAAACGAUUUCCACCGUACACCAAUUCUCAAUGAUGGCUGACCUGGCGCUUUUAGAAGACACAUAUGCGCCCUUGAGAAGGGAAAGAGUAUUUCAGGAUAGGCGAGAUCUUCUGAAUGAAUCAGAUGAAUGGCUGAUGAGCAGAUUCCGUCUUCCAAGACGGCACCCACGAUGCCUUCAUUUAUUAGCACAGCAGCGUGCGCAGACGGCUGCAGGAGGGCGCAUUGAGGGGUCAUGGUUAUCUUUUAGGUGACAGGGGUUAUCCUCUUUUAGACUUUUUGAUCACCCCUGUGCCAAACCCCGUGAUGCAUCAGGAGCGCAACGUCAACCCCACGCACGCACGAACACGAGCCAUUGUGGAGCGCUGCGUGGGGCUCCUAAAAAGGUAGAUAGCUCUGCCUGGCACACGCGGGGGGCACGUUGCUCUAUUCGCCAAAGAAGGUGUGCAACAUCAUUUUGGCAUGUGCCGUCUUGCACAACAUGGCCAUUUGACGCGCUGGCCCCAAACCCAGAAGUGCCAGUGCAACAGAGGGCAGCACCACCGGCUUUAGGAGCUGUUCAGCUCAGACAGGACCUUGUUCGCCGGUUUUAAGGGACCUCAUCCGUCAGGACCCUUUGCCGUGGCGCACGGGAGGCUGGUGGACGGGCCUCGGCUUCCCCCGCUUGCACCUGCUCAGGCUCUGGGUGGGGCGCAAGGAUAGGCUCAGGCUCCUGGAUGGGCUGAGGGGGAGAUGCCUCGAGGGCGCUGGGGCCUGCAGUGCCAUCAUCUGCAAAA
Perca flavescens (yellow perch) is the source of this 954-nucleotide long non-coding RNA. RefSeq lists it as uncharacterized. The record is from RefSeq and is a predicted model, not a curated record. Lineage: Eukaryota; Metazoa; Chordata; Actinopteri; Perciformes; Percidae. The transcript has 3 exons.